This 455-nucleotide unclassified non-coding RNA is filed under the name Hevea brasiliensis (rubber tree). The record is from RNAcentral. Lineage: Eukaryota; Viridiplantae; Streptophyta; Magnoliopsida; Malpighiales; Euphorbiaceae.
GACACAACUGAAGAGGUGGAGGACAAAACUCCUCCUGGAGGCCCAAUCAGUGCUGUUCGAGCAGAACCCAAUCAGUCAAAAAAAGAGAAGGUCUCUAUUGUCGAGAAUGUUUACUGGAAAGAACUUGGACUUCUUGUUGCUGUGUGGCUGAUAAUUCUUAGUUUGCAGAUUGGCAAGAAUUACUCGACAACCUGUUCGGUAAAAUAUUGGGUGUUAAAUAUAUUGCAGAUCCCUGUAGCUGUUGGGGUAACUGCAUACGAGGCAGUUAGCCUGUACAAAGGGCGGAGAAAGAUUGCAUCCAUGGGAGAGGCGAGCACAAACUGGCGAGUUCACCAACUUGUUCUCUAUUGUGCCAUUGGUGUGUUGGCUGGAAUAGUUGGUGGGAUGCUUGGACUUGGUGGAGGAUUCAUUUUGGGUCCUCUCUUUCUGGGGAUGGGAAUCCCCCCUCAGGUGCA